Molecule: ribosomal RNA, 722 nt
Filed under: Pseudomonas aeruginosa
Lineage: Bacteria; Pseudomonadati; Pseudomonadota; Gammaproteobacteria; Pseudomonadales; Pseudomonadaceae
Description: bacterial SSU rRNA
Rfam family: Bacterial small subunit ribosomal RNA
Source: RNAcentral
UUGUAAAGUCGAGCGGAUGAAGGGAGCUUGCUCCUGGAUUCAGCGGCGGACGGGUGAGUAAUGCCUAGGAAUCUGCCUGGUAGUGGGGGAUAACGUCCGGAAACGGGCGCUAAUACCGCAUACGUCCUGAGGGAGAAAGUGGGGGAUCUUCGGACCUCACGCUAUCAGAUGAGCCUAGGUCGGAUUAGCUAGUUGGUGGGGUAAAGGCCUACCAAGGCGACGAUCCGUAACUGGUCUGAGAGGAUGAUCAGUCACACUGGAACUGAGACACGGUCCAGACUCCUACGGGAGGCAGCAGUGGGGAAUAUUGGACAAUGGGCGAAAGCCUGAUCCAGCCAUGCCGCGUGUGUGAAGAAGGUCUUCGGAUUGUAAAGCACUUUAAGUUGGGAGGAAGGGCAGUAAGUUAAUACCUUGCUGUUUUGACGUUACCAACAGAAUAAGCACCGGCUAACUUCGUGCCAGCAGCCGCGGUAAUACGAAGGGUGCAAGCGUUAAUCGGAAUUACUGGGCGUAAAGCGCGCGUAGGUGGUUCAGCAAGUUGGAUGUGAAAUCCCCGGGCUCAACCUGGGAACUGCAUCCAAAACUACUGAGCUAGAGUACGGUAGAGGGUGGGUGGAAUUUCCUUGUGUAGCGGUGAAAUGCGUAAUAUAGGAAGGAACACCAGUGGCGAAGGCGCCACCUGACUGAUACUGACACUGAGGUGCGAAGCGUGGGGGCAAAAC